This is a long non-coding RNA of Nylanderia fulva, 252 nucleotides long. RefSeq lists it as uncharacterized. The record is from RefSeq and is a predicted model, not a curated record. NCBI's taxonomy places the organism in Eukaryota, Metazoa, Arthropoda, Insecta, Hymenoptera, Formicidae.
UCAAUGCUUUCACGUGUUCUUUAUAUGCAGCUACAAUUAACGUAUCGUUGUCGUGUUGUCGAUUGAUUUAUGAUUCAGGACUGGAUAUUUUAUCAAGAAGAAGAGAGACUAGUCCAUAAACUGUCUCAAUAAAACUGAUUCAUUACUGUACGUGGAAACAGAAACUUUUAUUGAAAAGAUAAAACUUAUCGAGACGUUAUCGUGUCUGCAGAUAAACAUAUAUACAUAUACAGAGAUUAUGAUCAAUUCCGG